CAGCCGUAAACAAUGUGCGUUAGGUGUGUCGGUAACCACGCGUUACUGAUGCGCCGAAGAGAAAUCGUGAAACGCACCACCUGGGAAGUACGGUCGCAAGGCUGAAACUUAAAGGAAUUGGCCGGGGGAGCACCACAACAGGUGGAGCCUGCGGUUUAAUUGGAUUCAACGCCGGACAUCUCACCGGAUAAGACAGCUGAAUGAUUGUCAAUCUGAAGGUUUUACAUGACUAGCUGAGAGGAGGUGCAUGGCGUAGACGUCU
Molecule: ribosomal RNA, 262 nt
Filed under: uncultured archaeon
Lineage: Archaea
Description: partial 16S ribosomal RNA
Rfam family: Archaeal small subunit ribosomal RNA
Source: RNAcentral